GGCGACCCCACACCUCCGCCGCGCCUCACCGCCGGAGCUCCGUCCGCUCCGCCGCCUCGCCCCUCUCCUCCUUCCUCUCGAUCUCCUCUCACCUCUUUCUCUCUUUCUCGCUGAACAGGGACCUCCAGAAGGGCCAUGGCGCCACCAGCCCUUAAUCUCGCCGGAUCCGGCCGCCUGCACGCCAAAUCCGCCGGAAAUGGAUCCGUCCCGUCCAGAUCCGGCCGGAUCCGACCGGGCCCCGCCAUCCUCGUCACUGGAGCACCGCCCCGCUCGACCAACAGCGUCGGCGCUGUCUGUCCCUGCCCGCGUCUGCACGAGGACGACGCUCGUCCCGCUCGCUUGCAGCAAUCGCAUGGGCCGCCGCCCCAGCCGUCCCGGCAUCAAGCCAAGGCCCAGCCCAAGCCACAUCUUCUGCCGCUCCAUCAUUGCCCACCUUGAGAUCAGCCCCGACGCCACCACCAUCUUCAGAUGCGUACGCACACUACUUCCUUCUUCAAAUUGCUUCACCACAUCAUGCUGAAUUUGCAAACGGCCGCUCCUUACAUGUGUGAUCGAGAAGCAAGGUCAAGUAUGAGCAGGCUGUCAGCGUGUAGUGGUCGGAGAUGCCGUCGCAACUUACAUGUCGCAGUCGUCGGCUCCAUGCUAAGAUUACGAGGCUCUAUGGUUGUAUCGUGGUGUUCCAGUAGUAAACUUUCAGGCUGGUUAGAUAGGGGAUGAAGAUGAUGUAUACUACCUAACGGCCAUUGAGUAAUAAAAGGAGAUGGAUUGAACUACAUGAUUUAUGCCAUGGGAAUGAUGAAAAAUCUUUGAGUGAGGAUGUUGAAUAAUUCAGUCCUGAUCAAUGGCUUCUCAUAAAAGUCUUCCUGCCAGCAAGAGAGCCCUUGCAGAUUUACAGCUUUUAGUGUAAUUAUUACAGAGAAGACAUGCUUAGAGGGCCUAUAAUUUUACUAAGUGAACAUGUACUGAUCUCUACAUGCUUUUUAUUAGAGGUAAAGACGAUGCAUUGCCUAUCCAAGUCUCCAUACAAAUUUGUAGAUGCACAUGGCGUUUUAUCUAUCUGGCUAGCGUUUAUAUUCAAAACUCUUUUGUCCUUAUAUCUUUUCAGUAUCGCUUUCAUGUUUUACUAAGAUCUGUGCGGAAACAACAUGAGCCUUUGCUGCUUGGUCUGGGAUGGUGAAGUGGUGGUUGCAGUGGAAAUCGUUAAAGGGGGCACCGGUGUCCUCAGUUAUACGGUUACAGAAUAUAUGGAGUCAUGCCCAACGUUGCAAGGGAGCCUGUAGUGGGAGGCGACAAAGUAUUGGCUGUUACCAUAGUAUCCAUAAUGAGUUGUGUCAACACCAACCUCAGAGCUGGAAUAAGGAGUGCGCAUUCGCAUUGAUGAAACAACUUUCCCAUAGCCCGCUGCUACUGCCCACUACCACAAUCUUGCAUAGAUACUUUGAGGGCUGAAGUGAAUGAAUCUGGAAGUGCUUUAGUGAUUAAUGCUCUGUCCCAAGUUAAGCAUAUUCUACUUCCGGUCACUGGCCGCAAGCCUUACCUUUCAGUUCUAAUUCCUUGAGAUCACCACAGUUGUGAAUAUAGCCAUUGUUUCAACAGAACAAACCUAAGCUUAGCAUGAAAGAGAGUAUGAAAGUUCUGAUCUCUUCAAAAUAUGUGAGGGGCCUUGCUACCUUAGUUGUUGCAUAUGGCAUUAUAAUCAAUUUUGUGUAAGUCACAUGGAAAUCGAAGCUCAAGGCACAGUUCCCCAGUCCAAACGAGCACUCAUCUUUCAUGGGUGAUUUCUCUACCGCAACUGGACUUGCAACUUUCAUGAUGAUGCUGUUAGGCUGGAUUACAUUCCAAAGAUUUGGUUGGGGGGUGGCUUCCAUUAUCACCCCCAUAGUUUUGUGGUGACUGGCGUUGGUUUCUUCUCUGACUUUCAACAAGUGCAGUUCAUUGCCGCAGAGCAGUCUUAGAAGAUCCGUGCACAUGUAGCCUUAUUUCUUAUUCCAAAUUUCAUCAUACAAAAAAAAUACUCAGUGUAACCUCAUUUCUGAUGUUUGCGAAAAUUAGAUUAUAAAAAUGUUGCAUAAUG
Molecule: RNA transcript, 2074 nt
Organism: Triticum aestivum (bread wheat)
Lineage: Eukaryota; Viridiplantae; Streptophyta; Magnoliopsida; Poales; Poaceae
Exons: 5
Source: RefSeq, a predicted model, not a curated record